AUGAGUAUCUUCUAUUGAAACUGUCGCGGGGCGGACAAACCCGAGACGGUUCGAGAGCUUCGUGGCUUCGCGAGGCAGUUUGCUCCGACGGUGUUUUGCAUAGUAGAAACUCAGCUGUCAAAAGUUCGAGUAGAAAGCUUAGCAAGUACACUAGGCUAUGAUAAUUCUUACGCUGUUAGUAGCUCUGGUAUAAUGCAAUAA
RNAcentral lists this ribosomal RNA (201 nucleotides) under Triticum aestivum (bread wheat). RNAcentral describes it as "partial small subunit ribosomal RNA". Lineage: Eukaryota; Viridiplantae; Streptophyta; Magnoliopsida; Poales; Poaceae. The record is from RNAcentral.